RNAcentral lists this ribosomal RNA (264 nucleotides) under uncultured archaeon. Its description in RNAcentral is "partial 16S ribosomal RNA". It matches the Rfam family "Archaeal small subunit ribosomal RNA", at positions 748 to 1008 of the family's 1478-position model. The record is from RNAcentral.
AGGGUGUAAACGCUGCAGACUUGGUGUUGGAGGCCCUUUGGGGGGCGAUUCAGUGCCGGAGAGAAGUUGUUAAGUCUGCUACUUGGGGAGUACGUCCGCAAGGAUGAAACUUAAAGGAAUUGGCGGGGGAGGCACCGCAACGGGAGGAGCGUGCGGUUUAAUUGGAUUCAACACCGUAAAACUCACCAGGGAAGACUGUUACAUGAAGGCCGAGAUGAAGACUCUGCCAGAUUUUCAGAGAGGAGGUGCAUGGCGUCAGUGACU